UACAGAGGUCCCAAGCGUUGUUCGGAUUCACUGGGCGUAAAGGGUGCGUAGGCGGCCAGGUAAGUCUGCUGUGAAAUCCCGCAGCUCAACUGCGGAACUGCAUUGGAAACGAUCUGGCUAGAGGAAUGGAGGGGAGACUGGAAUUCUCGGUGUAGCAGUGAAAUGCGUAGAUAUCGAGAGGAACACCAGUGGCGAAGGCGAGUCUCUGGACAUUUCCUGACGCUGAGGCACGAAAGCCAGGGGAGCAAACGGG
RNAcentral lists this ribosomal RNA (253 nucleotides) under uncultured bacterium. RNAcentral's name for it is "partial 16S ribosomal RNA". It matches the Rfam family "Bacterial small subunit ribosomal RNA", at positions 524 to 776 of the family's 1533-position model. The record is from RNAcentral.